GCUAACUCCAGGCAAUCGGCCGCGGGAAUACGUAGGUGGGAAGCGUGUUCCGGAUUUAUUGGGCGUGAAGGGAGGGUAGGUGGUUUCUUAAGGUGGAUGUGAAAGCCCACGGCUUAACCGUGGAGGGUCAUUGGAAACUGGUGAACUUGAGUGCAGAAGAGGAAAGCGGAAUUCCAUGUGUAGCGGUGAAAUGCGUAGAUAUAUGGAGGAACACCAGUGGCGAAAGCGGCUUUCUGGUCUGUAACUGACACUGAGGCUCGAAAGCGUGGGGAGCAAACAGGAUUAGAUACCCUUGUAGUC
RNAcentral lists this ribosomal RNA (300 nucleotides) under uncultured Lactobacillus sp. Its description in RNAcentral is "bacterial SSU rRNA". It matches the Rfam family "Bacterial small subunit ribosomal RNA", at positions 496 to 795 of the family's 1533-position model. Lineage: Bacteria; Bacillati; Bacillota; Bacilli; Lactobacillales; Lactobacillaceae. The record is from RNAcentral.